CAGCCUGCGGCACCUGGAAAAUAAAGGGACACAGAGGGAAGUGGGGGCAUCAGGGAACCAUUUAUUUCGCCAGCAGGCGUCUGCAGGAGAAAACUAGAUGUAGAAUAGAAACAGCAUGUGAGGACUGGAAUAUAUGGGGUCCUGCCUAGAAAAAGUGUUUUGUCUCCUUGUUGUUAGGGCUGGCAGAUUGUGCUGUCAGACCACGGGGUGGCAAUAUUUAGACUCAGUGUGCAGAAGUUAGCCAUUUAAGGGAAGCGUAGUGUGCUCAGUAUGCAGACAGGAGAGAAACAAAAUGACUUCAGUUACUGUCCCAGUUAAUGCUCCUUGUUCUUUAUCGCAUUUCACACAAGGCUAUCACCUCCCUCCUCUGAUGAAAACUGCAGUUUUUCUAAGGAAAAAAUACCUGUUUUAACAUACAUUGCUGCCAGACGAGUUACUAAUAUUGCUGAUUGCUGCAAGUCACAAUGUUUACAAAGGAUCAAUACAAAAAGCAACAACAACUGAAAUGAAAAUGGAGGAGCCUUGACAACAAAGUCCAUUCUUAGCUAAAAUCAGCUGAAAAAGUAAUUGCUUCUUGUGUAGGAGUGUCUUUUGUUUACUCUCUAUUUUUAUUUAUCCUUUACUCACAGUAGUGAGGAAGGUGGAGGAUUACUGAGGCAGGAUGAGCAGUUUGCACUUCCAUCCCGCCCAGCUCUGGAGUCCUCCAAAUGUGGGCGGAU
RNAcentral lists this long non-coding RNA (719 nucleotides) under Anas platyrhynchos platyrhynchos (common mallard). Its description in RNAcentral is "lncRNA (ENSAPLG00000026532.1)". Lineage: Eukaryota; Metazoa; Chordata; Aves; Anseriformes; Anatidae. The record is from RNAcentral.